AAGACUCCAUAUGGGGAUGAUGGCCUUGCCACAUUGUAGGCGCUUCGUAUUCAUGGCAAAGAGCCAUAUCUAAACUUCUAACAUUUUCCUUUAGAUUAUUAUAGGACAGACCUUGACCGGGAGAUCCUCAUCUCUCGGAUUGUUUGAUUAGCGUCCCAUGUUAUGUUCAAACUUCACAUAAUAUUAGAUCCACUUAAAGAAAAGUAGUACUACUCUCCAAUAAUAUGUUUAUUCAUGCUCUGAACCAAAAGAACUGAUGCUUGAAGCCACUGUCAUUCUUUCUUCUAUAUCUUUGCCGUCUAGGCACUCUUUAUUAUUCUCGGUUCUUCCAUUUAUGCUUAUUGUAAAACAUAAUUGGGAUGAGCAGGUUUAUGUGAAAUUCAGUGCCCUUUUCCACAAGUUGAAAAAAAUUUAAACAUAGAUCUUGAUCAAAAAUGCUACUUGGGAGUAGGAAUGUAUUCACUCUCUCAAAAGUUAAUUCAGUAGGCAUCAUGCACGUUUGAGCACAUUUAUCUAAUUUAAGAUAGAUGGAAUCUCCAAAUCAAACGUCCAUGCUAUUGAUCUUCAUGUUAAUUUGUUUUCCUUGUUCAUAGCUAGCAUGAUUUCAUAAAGCUCCAGAGAUAUUGCAGAGUUCAGAAGGUCUGGAUGUUCUUCAGGUAUGACGUUAGUUAAUAUCAACGAACAAGCAAACCAAGGAUGCUCUUAAAGCAACAGACAUCCUCCUUUUUUCACAAGUCUGUUACACCAUACAAAUUUUUUUUCUAAAUUUUUUGUAAGAUUACAUAUGUUCAUUUAUUUAUUUUAUCUAUUUACCUAUUAAUUUGAAUAAAAAAUAUAUAUUCACUUUUGAAUAGAUAUUAAAAAUAUUAGAAGGGUGAAUUUAUUACAUAAUAUUCAAUGAAUUUUUAAAAUAUAAUUUUACCAAACAACACUUACGUUAAUGCUCAUUUGAAAUAUAGUUUGUUUACCAAAUAUUCAAAGUAUUUCACAAUGCAUUCACUCAAAUCUCUUUCUCCAAAUGGACAUACAAAUGUAAAUGUGUUUCCAAAUGCACCAUAUAAUCAUCUUAACCUUUUUUGCUUCCCCAAUAAAUAUGUCAUAACUAAUUUCCCAUUUUAUUAUUAUUUUUUCUUCCUAAUCUUAUAUGCCCUCAUAAGGAAUAUGCUUUAACAAUUAAAAUAUUUCCUACUUUUGAACAUUCUGAUAAAAAUAACCUAAUUACUUUAUAUUAAAAAUAAAAAACUUAAAAUGGAAUUAUACGUCCCUACCUUAUUAUAAAUCCACAUCCCCUUUACAAUCCCGAGAGUGGACUCCCUUUCUCAUCUUAAACUUGGCUAACAGGGAUUUGACCACGAGGGAGGAUUCUUGUUCUUAACCUCAGCUUUAAAAUGUAUGUUCUCCACCUUUUUCUUUUAGUCUAAAUUUUAAAAUAUUUGAUUGAUUUCUAGUUGUUUAAUAUUUCAUAAAAUUUUGAUAUUGAUUAAUGUUGGAUUUUUAAUUUAAAAGAAGAAUUAUGCAGAGUUGUUAAUGUUAAUUUAAUUUUUUUUUAAAAUUUUGUAUCAAAUUAAAUUAGUUUUUACUGUUAAUUUAAUUAUUUUGAAUUAUAACAUAAAAUUCAAUAAACACAAGAAAAAGUAAAUCAUAUUUGAAGAUUUUCAUAUUUUCAAAUCACUCUUAACAAUACUCAAUGCAGUCUCAUGCAACACAGCCCAUAACUGUUUGGAAUCACCAUUGUACUGGGUCUCUCAUGCCACAUACAAAGUAUAAUCUAUCAUGAUAUCUUUGACAUGUCUACAUCUCUUUGAAUGUAUGUAUGGAUGAAUGAAAUUACAAAUGAUUGGACGUUGUUUCAUAUAAGCCAUAUUAGUAGGGUGAUUUCAUUAGAAGAUUACCAGACUAUCAAACAAGAUGGUUAGACGAUUUCUCCAUUCGUUACUAGUUGUUAUUAGGAAAAAUUUAUCACCACCUUGAUGGGGUAGUAUAUCAUUUUGUUUGCUAUUGGGAGUACGAUAUGAGUUAUCCGUUGUUGUUGAGAGAAUAAAGGACUUAUGCCAAAGAGAAAAACCUCUCCGCCCAUUGUUGCACAAGUGCAACAUCAGGUAUUCGAUCUAUUACAAUGUGAUAAUAAACAUGUUAUCCGCAUGAUAAUUUUAUAUGUUUGAUCUAUUUUGUUAGGAUUCAUGCAUGACUUUGUUUAAAUUGAUUUGAGAUUACUUGUUUAUU
This 2223-nucleotide long non-coding RNA is filed under the name Musa acuminata (dwarf banana). Its description in RNAcentral is "long non-coding RNA (MACU_LNC009080)". Lineage: Eukaryota; Viridiplantae; Streptophyta; Magnoliopsida; Zingiberales; Musaceae. The record is from RNAcentral.